RNAcentral lists this ribosomal RNA (343 nucleotides) under Alteromonas sp. LX7. RNAcentral's name for it is "bacterial SSU rRNA". It matches the Rfam family "Bacterial small subunit ribosomal RNA", at positions 39 to 376 of the family's 1533-position model. Lineage: Bacteria; Pseudomonadati; Pseudomonadota; Gammaproteobacteria; Alteromonadales; Alteromonadaceae. The record is from RNAcentral.
GCGGUAGGCUUAACACAUGCAAGUCGAGCGGAAACGAUGAUAGCUUGCUAUCAGGCGUCGAGCGGCGGACGGGUGAGUAACGCGUAGGAAUCUGCCUAGUAGUGGGGGACAACCUGUGGAAACGCAGGCUAAUACCGCAUAACCCCUACGGGGGAAAGGAGGGGAUCUUCGGACCUUUCGCUAUUAGAUGAGCCUGCGUGAGAUUAGCUAGUUGGUGAGGUAAAGGCUCACCAAGGCGACGAUCUCUAGCUGGUCUGAGAGGAUGAUCAGCCACACUGGGACUGAGACACCGCCCAGACUCCUACGGGGAGGCAGCCUUUUGGGAAAUAUUUGAACAAUUGGC